Molecule: transfer RNA, 72 nt
Filed under: Cavia porcellus (domestic guinea pig)
Lineage: Eukaryota; Metazoa; Chordata; Mammalia; Rodentia; Caviidae
Rfam family: tRNA
About the family: Transfer RNA (tRNA) molecules are approximately 80 nucleotides in length. Their secondary structure includes four short double-helical elements and three loops (D, anti-codon, and T loops). Further hydrogen bonds mediate the characteristic L-shaped molecular structure. tRNAs have two regions of fundamental functional importance: the anti-codon, which is responsible for specific mRNA codon recognition, and the 3' end, to which the tRNAs corresponding amino acid is attached (by aminoacyl-tRNA synthetases). tRNAs cope with the degeneracy of the genetic code in two manners: having more than one tRNA (with a specific anti-codon) for a particular amino acid; and 'wobble' base-pairing, i.e. permitting non-standard base-pairing at the 3rd anti-codon position.
Source: Rfam by way of RNAcentral
GGGGAUAUAGCUCAGUGGCACAGCGCUUGCCUGGUAAGCUCAAGGUCCUGAGUUUGAUUUCCAGUACCCUCC